CAGCCGCCGCGGGAAUACGAAGGGUGCGAGCGUUAAUCGGAAUUACUGGGCGUAAAGCGUGCGUAGGCGGUUUGUUAAGUCUGCUGUGAAAUCCCCGGGCUCAACCUGGGAAUGGCAGUGGAUACUGGCAAGCUAGAGUGUGUCAGAGGAUGGUGGAAUUCCCGGUGUAGCGGUGAAAUGCGUAGAGAUCGGGAGGAACAUCAGUGGCGAAGGCGGCCAUCUGGGACAACACUGACGCUGAGGCACGAAAGCGUGGGGAGCAAACAGGAUUAGAUACCCCGGUAGUCCCUGUCUCUUAUAC
This 301-nucleotide ribosomal RNA is filed under the name uncultured bacterium. RNAcentral describes it as "partial 16S ribosomal RNA". It matches the Rfam family "Bacterial small subunit ribosomal RNA", at positions 509 to 807 of the family's 1533-position model. The record is from RNAcentral.